AAAUGAAAUGCCUGAUAAAAAGGUCUAUCUUGAUAGGAUAGCUCAUGCAAUAUUUUGCUUUCAUU
This 65-nucleotide transfer RNA is filed under the name Nitidulidae sp. 1 ACP-2013. RNAcentral describes it as "tRNA-Ile". Lineage: Eukaryota; Metazoa; Arthropoda; Insecta; Coleoptera; Nitidulidae. The record is from RNAcentral.